This 509-nucleotide ribosomal RNA is filed under the name uncultured Desulfobulbus sp. RNAcentral describes it as "bacterial SSU rRNA". It matches the Rfam family "Bacterial small subunit ribosomal RNA", at positions 903 to 1382 of the family's 1533-position model. Lineage: Bacteria; Pseudomonadati; Thermodesulfobacteriota; Desulfobulbia; Desulfobulbales; Desulfobulbaceae. The record is from RNAcentral.
GCCAGCCCGCUCAGAAACUUAAAGGAAUUGACGGGGGCCCCGCACAAGCGGUGGAGCACGUGGUUUAAUUCGAUGCAAACCGAAGAACCUUACCUGGGUUUGACAUGUACGUGUUACUGAUCUGAGAGGAGAGGGACCCAUGCUUCGGUAUGGGAGCGUACACAGGUGCUGCAUGGCUGUCGUCAGCUCGUGUCGUGAGAUGUUGGGUUAAGUCCCGUAACGAGCGCAACCCUUGUCCUUAGUUACCAGCACGUUAUGGUGGGCACUCUAAGGAGACUGCCGGUGACAAACCGGAGGAAGGUGGGGAUGACGUCAAGUCCUCAUGGCCUUUAUGACCAGGGCUACACACGUACUACAAUGGCCGAUACAAAGGGCAGCGACACUGCGAGGUGAAGCCAAUCCCGUAAAAUCGGUCUCAGUCCGGAUUGGAGUCUGCAACUCGACUCCAUGAAGUUGGAAUCGCUAGUAAUCGUGGAUCAGCAUGCCACGGUGAAUACGUUCCCGGCCUU